This 28-nucleotide small RNA is filed under the name Bombyx mori (domestic silkworm). Its description in RNAcentral is "ovarian small RNA-9493". The record is from RNAcentral. Lineage: Eukaryota; Metazoa; Arthropoda; Insecta; Lepidoptera; Bombycidae.
UUCAAGAACUUGCCCAUCUCGAUUUCGC